RNAcentral lists this ribosomal RNA (279 nucleotides) under uncultured Glomus. RNAcentral's name for it is "partial 18S ribosomal RNA". It matches the Rfam family "Eukaryotic small subunit ribosomal RNA", at positions 548 to 833 of the family's 1831-position model. Lineage: Eukaryota; Fungi; Glomeromycota; Glomeromycetes; Glomerales; Glomeraceae. The record is from RNAcentral.
UUGGGGGCAAGUCUGGUGCCAGCAGCCGCGGUAAUUCCAGCUCCAAUAGCGUAUAUUAAAGUUGUUGCAGUUAAAAAGCUCGUAGUUGAAUUUCGGGGUUAGUAGGUUGGUCAUGCCUCUGGUAUGUACUGGUCUCACUGAUUCCUCCUUCCUUAUGAACCGUAAUGCCAUUAAUUUGGUGUUGCGGGGAAUUUGGACUGUUACUUUGAAAAAAUUAGAGUGUUUAAAGCAAGCUAACGCUUGAAUACAUUAGCAUGGAAUAAUGAAAUAGGACGUUCG